UAGCGCGGUGGUCCCACCUGACCCCAUGCCGAACUCAGAAGUGAAACGCCGUAGCGCCGAUGGUAGUGUGGGGUCUCCCCAUGCGAGAGUAGGACACUGCCAGGCA
RNAcentral lists this ribosomal RNA (106 nucleotides) under Serratia entomophila. RNAcentral also lists the same sequence under 1 other name. The record is from RNAcentral. Lineage: Bacteria; Pseudomonadati; Pseudomonadota; Gammaproteobacteria; Enterobacterales; Yersiniaceae.